Molecule: non-coding RNA, 1902 nt
Organism: Parasteatoda tepidariorum (common house spider)
Lineage: Eukaryota; Metazoa; Arthropoda; Arachnida; Araneae; Theridiidae
Source: RefSeq, a predicted model, not a curated record
AUUGCAAACGCAGGUAUUUAUUAAUAUAUGUAUACUUAUUACUAUAAAUGCACUUAUAUAACUGUAGUUAAUCUUUAUAGAAUUACCUUUUAAAUAUUUAUGGUAACUCUAAUAAAAUAAAGUUUUUUAUUUCCUUAUUACAUCGCUAAUUUAAAAAUUAUUUUCAGCUGAAGGACUGGUCAAUGAUGUCGCUGGAGGAGGUAUGUUACAUUUCGUUUUUAAUUUUAUGUAUGUUAACCUUUGAUUUUUGAUGCAUGCAGAUGUUUAGUUAUUUUUCAUCUUCUAACUUUAAGUUAUAUUUCCUUUCAAACAGUAUUCAUAAAAAGUGGAAAAUUAGAUAGCUCAUUGAGUCAAUAGUAUUUCAUAAUAUCAGUACACUAACAGAUAAGCAUAUAAGUAUUGGUCAAACGCAGAAUGUUAUCGAGGGAAAAGUUUAAAAAAUAUUUUCCUAUACAUUAUGUAGAUUACACUAACUUAGAAUGAUUUUGAACUGAUUAAUUGAUAUUUUUGAACUAGCUUUAGAAUUUGGAUCUAAAAUAAUUUCAUGCGGCUUCGUUCGAAAUUUUAGGCUACAGCAAAAAGAAAAAAGUUCAGGUGAUGCAAGAGAGACAGCCAAAUCGGCACACAAGAAAAAUUUUUUAUCACUGUAAUUAAAUAUAAGUUUAGAUUUAGAUUUGGCAUGUAUCCACCUUACUGACUUUUACCUGAUCUUCCCAAAUAGUUAUUAAACGCAGGUUAUAAGAAUUACAGGAACAGGUUUCUAGAUCAGAUUUUGGAAGCAAGUUAUACAGUAGUGAUAUUAUUUUCACAUUUGUUUACCUAUAACUGAACAAAAUUCUAAUAUUAAAUUCGUUAAUGUACAGAAGAAUUUUAUUUUAUUUCGAUAAAAAAUAUGACGCUUGUCUUGAUAAUAAAACUUAUAUCAUUAUUUCAGUUGUUCAAGCUACUAGUGGUAAGUGAAAACAAUAUUUAUGCAGUAAACUACUUGCACACAUAAAUAUAUGUUAAAAAAUUUUGCUAAUUUUUUAAUAAUUUUCAAUUUUUGCGAUCUAUGUUAGCUUAAAAUUUUGUUUAAAACAAUUUCAGUCAACCAGCAUAUCUGGUGAUCAUGGCCCUUGAAACUCUUUUUUUUUCAAAUUUGCUUCAGGAAAGACAAAAAAAUGUGUGGUAUGAAAAGGUAAUGAUUUUAGCGCUAUUUUUAUAAUAAUGCAUUUGGUCCCAGAGUUAAAGGAACAAAAUAAUAAAUUAUUUCAUAAUUUUGAUUUAAUAAUGUAUGAACAUAUGAUGUAAAAUUUGCAAUGGAGUGUCAUAUUAAAUUAAAUUAUAAUUUUGAAAAUAAAUUUAAGAACUAAAUGAAUCACGAAACAAAUAAAAAAAGGGCUAUUUAUGUUUGUUUUUUUCAAUUUGAAUAUGCAUCUGCCAAUUUUUCUCAUGCAUUUGAAGCAGUAUAUGUACUGACAAAAAGAAAAUUUACACAUAAAAAUUAUAAAAAAAUUAUAAAAAAUAAUACUUUAAUUUUAAUGAAAUCUUUGUUCUCCUCAUAUGUAUGCCGGAAUUUUAUAACUUCAAAUGAUGCUUAGAUUGAAAAUUUUUUUUUUCAAUUGAUCUUAAAUAAAUUUAAUUUAUAUUCCAUCUUACGAAAUGCAAGAUUUUUAUAUAACUUCAUAUGCUAUAUGGAUCCUAGAUUAACUAUUGCUUUCUAUUGCUUUUUAUAUUGCUACGUCUGUAAUUAACAUUUUAAGGAAAAUAUUUUUAUUUGUUCAAAACUUUGUUUGCAGAUUUCUUUUGUGGCUUUAACAGAGUAUUUGGCAAGAUUGGAAGCGACUUGGGACAAGGAAGUAAGUAUGAUUUUGUAACCAAAUUGUGUUAUUGCGCCAUUAACGCCUGAAACUUAAGUAACUA